AUUGAACGCUGGCGGCAUGCCUUACACAUGCAAGUCGAACGGCAGCACGGGGCAACCUGGUGGCGAGUGGCGAACGGGUGAGUAAAGCAUCGGAACGUGCCCUGGAGUGGGGGAUAACGUAGCGAAAGUUACGCUAAUACCGCAUAUUCUGUGAGCAGGAAAGCAGGGGAUCGCAAGACCUUGCGCUCUGGGAGCGGCCGAUGUCGGAUUAGCUAGUUGGUGGGGUAAAGGCCUACCAAGGCGACGAUCCGUAGCGGGUCUGAGAGGAUGAUCCGCCACACUGGGACUGAGACACGGCCCAGACUCCUACGGGAGGCAGCAGUGGGGAAUUUUGGACAAUGGGCGGAAGCCUGAUCCAGCCAUGCCGCGUGAGUGAAGAAGGCCUUCGGGUUGUAAAGCUCUUUCGGCCGGGAAGAAAUCGCAUGGGUCAAUACCCUGUGUGGAUGACGGUACCGGAAUAAGAAGCACCGGCUAACUACGUG
RNAcentral lists this ribosomal RNA (482 nucleotides) under uncultured bacterium. RNAcentral's name for it is "bacterial SSU rRNA". It matches the Rfam family "Bacterial small subunit ribosomal RNA", at positions 29 to 507 of the family's 1533-position model. The record is from RNAcentral.